Molecule: ribosomal RNA, 440 nt
Filed under: uncultured bacterium
Lineage: Bacteria
Description: partial 16S ribosomal RNA
Rfam family: Bacterial small subunit ribosomal RNA
Source: RNAcentral
CCUACGGGCGGCAGCAGUAGGGAAUAUUGCUCAAUGGGGGAAACCCUGAAGCAGCAAAGUCGCGUGGAGGAUGAAGGUUUUAGGAUUGUAAACUCCUUUUGUUAGAGAAGAUUAUGACGGUAUCUAACGAAUAAGCACCGGAUAACUCCGUGCCAGCAGCCGCGGUAAUACGGGGGGUGCAAGCGUUACUCAGAAUCACUGGGCGUAAAGAGUGCGUAGGCGGGGUAAUAAGUUAGAUGGGAAAUCGUGUAUCUUAACUACAGAACUGCAGUUGAAACUGUUACUCUGGAGUGUGGGAGAAGUAGGUGGAAUGCUUGGUGUAGGGGUAAAAUCCGUAGAGAUCAAGAGGAAUUCUCAUUGCGAAGGCGACCUGCUGGAACAUUACUGACGCUGAUGCACGAAAGCGUGGGGAGCGAACAGGAUUAGAUACCCCAGUAGUC